RNAcentral lists this long non-coding RNA (390 nucleotides) under Arachis ipaensis. RNAcentral describes it as "long non-coding RNA (AIPA_LNC001377)". Lineage: Eukaryota; Viridiplantae; Streptophyta; Magnoliopsida; Fabales; Fabaceae. The record is from RNAcentral.
CACUGCCGACGUGCGGCGGCAGCCGCCGCCGCCUUCCUUGGCGCCCUUCUUGCGACUGGGCGCCAUAAAUUACGCAGAGUCAAGAAAAAGGAAGCGAUUCGAACUGAAUCAAACAACCAGACUCAAGAAAACACCGAAUUCGCCAAUAAAUCGAAUCAGAAAUGGGCUGCACAGUGUGUAAUUGGACGGUGAUGGAGCUGACAAGCAUUGAAACACAGGUGUAAUCGAGAAAUUGAAGGUGAUCGAAGGAAGAAACCCUAAUUCAUAGAGAGAAGAAGUGGUGUUUUGUUUUGUAUUGGUUUGGUUCAGCGAAUGAGAGAGAGGGGUUGAAGGAGGUGGCGGUGGUGGCCGCUUUAGGGUGCGCAGGUAAAGAGGGUAGAAGUGUGGCUC